Long non-coding RNA from Silurus meridionalis, 911 nucleotides. RefSeq lists it as uncharacterized. The transcript is spliced from 4 exons. NCBI's taxonomy places the organism in Eukaryota, Metazoa, Chordata, Actinopteri, Siluriformes, Siluridae. The record is from RefSeq and is a predicted model, not a curated record.
ACUUAAGUCUUCCAUUCUUGAUGGCUUAAUUGAAACAAUUAUUCAGUACAAAGUCUACCUCUCUGAUGCAGAGUUUAAGGAUGUAGCUGCAGCUCUUGUGUCAUCCCAUCCUUGUUUGAAAGAGCCUGGUUCAGCCACUGGAUAUGACGGCUGGAAGACAAGCCUGAAGUAUAAACUUGGUAACUACCGAACAAAGCUGAGACGUCUUGGAUGCCCAGAAGUAUCAGUAAAUGCUCUUGUAAACAAACCGAAUAAUAGAUGCAGUCCUGCUUAUGGUGUAAAAAAGCCCAAAAAAAGCAGAAGUCAAUUACUGCCCUGCUUAUCCAUCUGGUGAAACAAAGGAGACUCAAGAACUUCUAAGAGUAGCUCUUCUUUCAGAAGUGGAAAAAAGAAACAAUGAAAAUAAGGUGGCAAUGUUAAUGGAGAGGUCGUUUGCUCACAGAAGGCAAGAAGUGGUUCGAGAUGCACCCAUGAUAGCAGAUUUCAAAACAAGAUAACCAGCACUCUUCAGUGUGCAUGAGGUGUGUGCAGAAUUCAAAAGGAUUACUACAGUCCAUUUGCAGUCUAAGUUUUUCUCCCAGCUGGAUGUUCACUCUGCAAAUCUAAUCAAGGCAUAUAGUAAGAAGGGUGGAUUUAUAGGAAGGAGACUCAAGAGCAUCAUGACACCUAUGACCCAGAACAAUAGCAUUGAUAUUGGACGUGAAUGCAUCCUAAAGGGACUUUGUGUGUACUUAAAUGAAGAUCCGGAGAAGCUGGUGAAGGAAUACAUGAUGAUGUAAGCAGACACACAGCCAUGAAAGAGACCGUAUUUGGCAUCUAUGUUGUUCGACAUGAAGGUGAUGAGCAUACUGAUCCCCCAGAGGAUGUGGGUGUCAUUCUAGAGGGGGUGACUGUACUCUGUGAACUGGGGA